This 679-nucleotide ribosomal RNA is filed under the name Staphylococcus aureus. Its description in RNAcentral is "partial 23S ribosomal RNA". It matches the Rfam family "Bacterial large subunit ribosomal RNA", at positions 457 to 1138 of the family's 2925-position model. Lineage: Bacteria; Bacillati; Bacillota; Bacilli; Caryophanales; Staphylococcaceae. The record is from RNAcentral.
CUCCUAAGGCUAAAUACUCUCUAGUGACCGAUAGUGAACCAGUACCGUGAGGGAAAGGUGAAAAGCACCCCGGAAGGGGAGUGAAAUAGAACCUGAAACCGUGUGCUUACAAGUAGUCAGAGCCCGUUAAUGGGUGAUGGCGUGCCUUUUGUAGAAUGAACCGGCGAGUUACGAUUUGAUGCAAGGUUAAGCAGUAAAUGUGGAGCCGUAGCGAAAGCGAGUCUGAAUAGGGCGUUUAGUAUUUGGUCGUAGACCCGAAACCAGGUGAUCUACCCUUGGUCAGGUUGAAGUUCAGGUAACACUGAAUGGAGGACCGAACCGACUUACGUUGAAAAGUGAGCGGAUGAACUGAGGGUAGCGGAGAAAUUCCAAUCGAACCUGGAGAUAGCUGGUUCUCUCCGAAAUAGCUUUAGGGCUAGCCUCAAGUGAUGAUUAUUGGAGGUAGAGCACUGUUUGGACGAGGGGCCCCUCUCGGGUUACCGAAUUCAGACAAACUCCGAAUGCCAAUUAAUUUAACUUGGGAGUCAGAACAUGGGUGAUAAGGUCCGUGUUCGAAAGGGAAACAGCCCAGACCACCAGCUAAGGUCCCAAAAUAUAUGUUAAGUGGAAAAGGAUGUGGCGUUGCCCAGACAACUAGGAUGUUGGCUUAGAAGCAGCCAUCAUUUAAAGAGUGCGUAAU